RNAcentral lists this ribosomal RNA (446 nucleotides) under uncultured bacterium. RNAcentral's name for it is "SSU rRNA". It matches the Rfam family "Bacterial small subunit ribosomal RNA", at positions 26 to 518 of the family's 1533-position model. The record is from RNAcentral.
AGAGCGAACGCUGGCGGCAGGCCUAAUACAUGCAAGUCGAACGGACCCUUCGGGGUUAGUGGCGGACGGGUGAGUAACACGUGGGAACGUGCCCUUUGGUUCGGAACAACUCAGGGAAACUUGAGCUAAUACCGAAUGUGCCCUUCGGGGGAAAGAUUUAUCGCCAUUGGAGCGGCCCGCGUCUGAUUAGCUAGUUGGUGAGGUAAAGGCUCACCAAGGCUUCGAUCAGUAGCUGGUCUGAGAGGAUGAUCAGCCACACUGGGACUGAGACACGGCCCAGACUCCUACGGGAGGCAGCAGUAGGGAAUCUUGCGCAAUGGGCGAAAGCCUGACGCAGCCAUGCCGCGUGAAUGAUGAAGGUCUUAGGAUUGUAAAAUUCUUUCAGCGGGACGAUAAUGACGGUACCCGCAGAAGAAGCCCCGGCUAACGUUCGUGCCAGCAGCCGC